This 243-nucleotide ribosomal RNA is filed under the name uncultured Pseudomonas sp. RNAcentral's name for it is "partial 16S ribosomal RNA". It matches the Rfam family "Bacterial small subunit ribosomal RNA", at positions 1139 to 1382 of the family's 1533-position model. The record is from RNAcentral. Lineage: Bacteria; Pseudomonadati; Pseudomonadota; Gammaproteobacteria; Pseudomonadales; Pseudomonadaceae.
UCUAAGGAGACUGCCGGUGACAAACCGGAGGAAGUGGGGAUGACGUCAAGUCAUCAUGGCCCUUACGGCCUGGGCUACACACGUGCUACAAUGGUCGGUACAAAGGGUUGCCAAGCCGCGAGGUGGAAGCUAAUCCCAUAAACCGAUCGUAGUCCGGAUCGCAGUCUGCAACUCGACUGCGUGAAGUCGGAAUCGCUAGUAAUCGUGAAUCAGAAUGUCACGGUGAAUACGUUCCCGGGCCUU